Molecule: unclassified non-coding RNA, 238 nt
Filed under: uncultured fungus
Lineage: Eukaryota; Fungi
Description: sequence contains ITS2
Rfam family: 5.8S ribosomal RNA (bases 1-52)
Source: RNAcentral
AACGCACAUUGCGCCCCUUGGUAUUCCGAGGGGCAUGCCUGUUCGAGCGUCAUUGCAACCCUCAAGCUCUGCUUGGUGCUGGGCCCUACUGGACGAGUAGGCCCUAAAGUCAGUGGCGGUGCCGCCUGGCCCUAAGCGUAGUAUACCCUAUCGCUCUAGGGGACUCGCGGCGCCUGCUAGCAAGCCCAUCUACGUAAUGUCUGACCUCGGAUCAGGUAGGGAUACCCGCUGAACUUAA